Molecule: non-coding RNA, 23 nt
Filed under: Arabidopsis thaliana (thale cress)
Lineage: Eukaryota; Viridiplantae; Streptophyta; Magnoliopsida; Brassicales; Brassicaceae
Source: RNAcentral
GAUCGAGUUGCGGUUUAAGUUGU